RNAcentral lists this ribosomal RNA (467 nucleotides) under uncultured bacterium. RNAcentral describes it as "partial 16S ribosomal RNA". It matches the Rfam family "Bacterial small subunit ribosomal RNA", at positions 28 to 506 of the family's 1533-position model. The record is from RNAcentral.
GACGAACGCUGGCGGCGUGCUUAACACAUGCGAGUCGAACGGAAAGGCCCUGCUUUUGUGGGGUGCUCGAGUGGCGAACGGGUGAGUAACACGUGAGUAACCUGCCCUUGACUUUGGGGUAACUUCAGGAAACUGGGGCUAAUACCGGAUAGGAGCUCCUGCUGCAUGGUGGGGGUUGGAAAGUUUCGGCGGUUGGGGAUGGACUCGCGGCUUAUCAGCUUGUUGGUGGGGUAGUGGCUUACCAAGGCUUUGACGGGUAGCCGGCCUGAGAGGGUGACCGGCCACAUUGGGACUGGGAUACGGCCCAGACUCCUACGGGAGGCAGCAGUGGGGAAUAUUGCACAAUGGGCGGAAGCCUGAUGCAGCAACGCCGCGUGCGGGAUGACGGCCUUCGGGUUGUAAACCGCUUUCGCCUGUGACGAAGCGUGAGUGACGGUAAUGGGUAAAGAAGCACCGGCUAACUACGU